RNAcentral lists this ribosomal RNA (103 nucleotides) under uncultured bacterium. RNAcentral's name for it is "partial 16S ribosomal RNA". It matches the Rfam family "Bacterial small subunit ribosomal RNA", at positions 1380 to 1482 of the family's 1533-position model. The record is from RNAcentral.
CUUGUACACACCGCCCGUCACACCAUGGAAGUUGAUUGCACCAGAAGUAGGUAGCCUAACCGCAAGGGGGGCGCUUACCACGGUGUGGUUAAUGACUGGGGUG